UUAAUUUUAAACUAACGUUGUCUAAUUGUGAUGACAUGGAUGCGUACAUUAGUAACUCGUUUACACUUAUUCUUAUGUGGAAAAUUUAUUUAAAUUAAAAGAUCAUGACAUGGUAAAAUUAAAAAGGGAAUUAGGGAUUUGGAAAUCAAGACGCAUUCUUCAUCCAUUUCUUCACCCCAAUGCUCUCGCCUCAAUUCCGAUCCACG
This 206-nucleotide long non-coding RNA is filed under the name Vigna radiata. Its description in RNAcentral is "long non-coding RNA (VRAD_LNC018248)". The record is from RNAcentral. Lineage: Eukaryota; Viridiplantae; Streptophyta; Magnoliopsida; Fabales; Fabaceae.